RNAcentral lists this ribosomal RNA (733 nucleotides) under uncultured eukaryote. Its description in RNAcentral is "SSU rRNA". It matches the Rfam family "Eukaryotic small subunit ribosomal RNA", at positions 557 to 1295 of the family's 1831-position model. The record is from RNAcentral.
UAGUCUGGUGCCAGCAGCCGCGGUAAUUCCAGCUCCAAUAGCGUAUAUUAAAGUUGUUGCAGUUAAAACGCUCGUAGUCGGAUUUCGGGGCAGGUUUGCCGGUCUGCCGAUGGGUAUGCACUGGUAGAACUGUCCUUCCUUCCGGAGACGGCGCCUACUCUUAACUGAGCGGGUGUCGGAGACGGAUCGUUUACUUUGAAAAAAUCAGAGUGUUUCAAGCAGGCAGCUCGCUUUUGCAUGGAUUAGCAUGGGAUAAUGAAAUAGGACUUUGGUGCUAUUUUGUUGGUUUCGAACACCGAAGUAAUGAUUAACAGGGACAGUCAGGGGCACUCGUAUUCCGCCGAGAGAGGUGAAAUUCUUAGACCAGCGGAAGACGAACCACUGCGAAAGCAUUUGCCAGGGAUGUUUUCACUGAUCAAGAACGAAAGUUAGGGGAUCGAAGACGAUCAGAUACCGUCGUAGUCUUAACCAUAAACCAUGCCGACUAGGGAUUGGAGGAUGUUCCUAUGUGACUCCUUCAGCACCUUUCGGGAAACUAAAGUCUUUGGGUUCUGGGGGGAGUAUGGUCGCAAGGCUGAAACUUAAAGGAAUUGACGGAAGGGCACCACCAGGAGUGGAGCCUGCGGCUUAAUUUGACUCAACACGGGGAAACUUACCAGGUCCAGACAUUGUGAGGAUUGACAGAUUGAGAGCUCUUUCUUGAUUCGAUGGGUGGUGGUGCAUGGCCGUUCUU